RNAcentral lists this ribosomal RNA (316 nucleotides) under Porrhothele sp. QMB S111386. Its description in RNAcentral is "partial 12S ribosomal RNA". Lineage: Eukaryota; Metazoa; Arthropoda; Arachnida; Araneae; Hexathelidae. The record is from RNAcentral.
AAUUAGGUAGUAAAAUUCUUUAAACCCAUGCUUUUUGGCGGCCCUUCUUCUUCUCAGAGGAACUUGUUCGAUAAUCGAUACUCCCCGCUCAAUUUCACUUUUUUAAAUGUUUUUAUACCGCCGUCUGAAGACUUAUAUCAAAAUUCAUUCUAAAGAGUCAGAGACUAAAAAGUCAGGUCAAGGUGAAAUUAAUGAAAAAGUCAGAAUGAGUUACAUAUAUUAAUAAUUUGAGGUAUGCCUUCUAAAGAAGACAAAAAUUAGGAUUUGAUUGUAUUAGUAAGAUAAAAACUUACUUAGACCUAGUAAAGAAAGGUGU